Molecule: long non-coding RNA, 601 nt
Organism: Peromyscus eremicus (cactus mouse)
Lineage: Eukaryota; Metazoa; Chordata; Mammalia; Rodentia; Cricetidae
Exons: 2
Source: RefSeq, a predicted model, not a curated record
AUGCCAACCCAUUCUAAGGUCUCAUUAGCUCUUUAUGGGAUGUUCUACGGGCAUGCUAUAGAACACUGAUAAAAGAUUCUGCCAGAAUGUUGAGCUAAAGAAUGACCGCACAGUUAAGGUGGCUCCAGUCCAGAGCAUCUUGUAAAACGUGAAGUCUGGAAAUAAACGUUCUCAGCCACAGAGCAGCAGGUGGGGAUGGAGCAGGACUUGAGCAACAAUCCAUUAACUGACAGUUUGGUAGGAGGCAUUCAGCUUGCCUAUGGGAACGUCAAGGAGAUCUGCUGGCUGGGAUGGCAAAGACCAAAAGAGGAUCCGAUAGAGAGGCCUGUCAACCCUCUGCGACAACUGCUGUCAGCCACCCCUCCUUUAGAAGAUGAGAAGGACAGGCUAUUCCACAACAGGAUCUGGACUCGACAGACAAGUGUCUUAUAUCAUCCUAAAUUAUCUACAGUGGGCAGCAGCAUUUCUUCCCUUCCUCAUGAGUGGUUUAAGUCACGGAGGCCAACCGUGGCCCCAAAGCAUUGUUCUAGUACAGGGACAGGGGGAGGGAGGGAAUAACACCUCACAGAACUUUUAUUACAGUGUAUUGUAAUAUUGAUAA